This 524-nucleotide ribosomal RNA is filed under the name uncultured bacterium. RNAcentral describes it as "bacterial SSU rRNA". It matches the Rfam family "Bacterial small subunit ribosomal RNA", at positions 777 to 1314 of the family's 1533-position model. The record is from RNAcentral.
AAUAGAUACCCUGGUAGUCCACGCUGUAAACGAUGGAUGCUAGCUGUUAGGAGUAUCGACCCUCCUAGUAGCGUAGCUAACGCGUUAAGCAUCCCGCCUGUGGAGUACGGUCGCAAGACUAAAACAUAAAGGAAUUGACGGGGACCCGCACAAGCGGUGGAGCGUGUUGUUUAAUUCGAUGGUAAGCGAAGAACCUUACCCAGGCUUGACAUCCUGUUAGUCACUACGAAAGUAGAGAGUGCCUUCGGGCCGCAGUGACAGGUGAUGCAUGGCCGUCGUCAGCUCGUGUCGUGAGAUGUUUGGUUAAGUCCAUCAACGAGCGCAACCCUUAUAGUUAGUUGUAUUUCUCUAGCUAGACUGCCCUGGUAACAGGGAGGAAGGAGGGGAUGAUGGUCAGGUCAGUAUCUCCCUUACGUCUGGGGCUACAAACACGCUACAAUGGCCGGUACAAAGGGCUGCCAACCCGCGAGGGGGAGCAAAUCCCAUCAAAGCCGGUCUCAGUUCGGAUUGUAGGCUGAAACUCG